AAUUGAGAUUCUGCUUUGAGAACAGCCUGGAGAAUCCAGACCUUCAGUGAAUGCCCCACCCCUAGACUCCCAGAUCAAUGGAAUAAGUUUCUCCACCUUAUCCCCAGAAAUCCGAUGCCCCCCAGCUUCAUUUUCCCCAGAUUCCAAAAACGGGGUACACGGAGGACCCUAGGACCCAGAAGACAACUCAGGCACAAAGCCUCCCCCCACUCGAGGUUGCUUCCUGCAUCUCUAGCCUUCCUGCCGCCCUCCCCUCCCCUCCCUCCUUCUCCGCCCCCCUUUCCUCUUUUCCCAUCCUCCUCCUCCCCCUCCGCACUUCCCACACUCAGGCAGCUGGCCCUGUCCGCCUGGAGAGAAGGGGGGUAGUGGAAUCAUCCCAGGGAUGUAGGGCCCUAUAUAGGAAAACCCUAUGGGUAAGGGGUGUCUAGGACCCUGGGAUCUAGAUAGCUUGAUCUUUGGGAAUGAGGAUGAGGGAAGGGUCUGGUAACUUGAGCACCGAAGCUUUCGACCGACGGAGCUAAAGGGUCUUUGGGGAGAAGCUAGUAGGAACCGAGCUCCUGACGGUAAGAAGACCCUGGAGUCCUGCCCCUCCUCUGCACUAUAGCCCAGCUAGUCCAGGGAGACAGCACCCCCACACCUCAUCUAAAGGAGGAGGUCCUCAGCGAUUUUGGAAGGAUAGCUGGGAAAUCCCAGUUUCUCCGGUAUGAGGAGGAUUCAUAGAAUGGCAGAGCUGAAAAGAUGGGGAAACUGAGACUAAAAAAGAAGGUGAAGGCAGAGCCAUCUCUAUGGACAACUCACUCAGCACUUUGAAGAUCUAUACCUAUUGGUACUAAGCAUUGUGACUCAAGCAGAUAAGAUAAGGAGGGAAUGGAAGAAGCUUCUGCAAUUGACGCUCAAGGCCUGAAGAUUUAUGCUCACACACUAUUUCCUUGUAAGGCCUCCAGCCAACUGUUCCCAAGGCACUGAACCUCUCUCUGCUAUUGGACUCUCUCCUCAGGCUAUGUGUUUGAAUUUUGUUUCUUUUCUCCUUCUAAGACUACCCUUGAUAUAGCCCAGUUUCUCCUGUGUACAACUGGCAGAAAAAAGGAGAAGAUAGCAGGGACCACCACCUGAGCCUUCAUCUUCCCAAGUAUUUUUGUUCAGUUGUUUUUUCAGUCAUUUCUGACUCUUCAUGACCUCAAAUGGGGAUUGGGGGGGGGGGGGCACAGAUACUAGAGUGGCUUGCCACUUCCUUCUCCAGUUCAUUUGACUUGACAGAUGAGGAAACUGAGGCAGAAUUAAGUGACUUUUCCUAGAGUCACACCACUACUAAGUAUCUAAGACUAGAUCUGAACUCUGAGAAAAUGAGUCUCCCUGACUCCAGGCCCAGUGCACUAUCCAUUGUGCCACAUAGCUUCCCUUUCCCAAGUAUGGUCCUGAAUAAGAGGCUAGACUCAUUUCAAGGAUACAUGCUCCUCCACUCAUGAGCACACACACACACACAUCCCUUGACUUUCCCUGUUUCUAGUCUGCUAAUCCUUAACCUUGGAUAACCCCCAGCAUCAGCCUUCUGUCACCCUAUUCUAAGUCGCCCAGCUUUUCCUGUCUGAUUCCUAUGGCGAUUUCACUUCCUUCUCUUAUCCACUAAGGACAUUUCCCUCUCUGUCCUCUUCCCUGAUCUUUUUCCCUUUGUAAAACCUCCCCUUUGUCUGUCUCAUCCACUUCCAUGACUUCAGCUCUCAUUGCUGUAAGGAACAAAUUGUUCUCAUCCACCCAUCCCACCCUCUUCAUAUGCCUGGGGCAGACACCUCCUAACUCACAGAUGGGUUGAAGGACUUUCGGUUACCCGCCCGCCUAGACAGUGGCGUGAUCACUGCACUUGCUACAGCUUCUUGGAGCCACUGGUGAGAGCUGAGUGGCAGGUGGAUCCCCAAGAAGAAACGCAGCCCUCACACUAGGCACUAGCCCUCCCUGAACCGUCCUGUUCUCAUGUACUUUGUACUCAAAAAACCAACUCAUUCUUUUUCACUCUCCAGCUGUCCCUUCCCACCUCCCUGCAUUUACACCAAUUGCCUUUGCCAGGCUUUGGAACACACCUUCUUCCCUCUCCCCCUCAACUCAGCCUAUCAAAAUCCCUUUUUAUCAAGGCCCAGCUUGGGGCCACCUCUUGCCUAAAGCCUUCAUUGAUCUUCUAGGCUAGAUGGAAUCUCUCCUUCUUCAAAUCUUUCUCUUCGAGUCAUUUUUUAAAAACUUUCACCUUCUGUCUUAGAAUCAAUACUGUGUAUGGGUUCCCAGGCAGAAGACAGGUAAGGGCUAGGCAAAUGGGGUUAAGUGACUUGCCCAAGGUCACACAGUUAAGGAAGAGUCUGAGGUCAUAUUUGAACCCAGGACCUCCCGUUUCUAGUCCUGGCUCUCCAUCCACUGAGCCACCAGCUUCCCCCUCUUCGUUUCUUAAUUAAAUUAAAUUUAUUUUCACUUAAGCAUUUAUUUUUUCUUCCUCCCACCUUCCCUCAUUACACUGGAAAAAAGAAAAACAAAACUCUUGUAACAAAUAUGCAAAGACAAACAAAUAAAAUAAAUUCCUUCCAUUG
Molecule: non-coding RNA, 2570 nt
Organism: Monodelphis domestica (gray short-tailed opossum)
Lineage: Eukaryota; Metazoa; Chordata; Mammalia; Didelphimorphia; Didelphidae
Source: RefSeq, a predicted model, not a curated record